This 78-nucleotide transfer RNA is filed under the name Thermoplasmata archaeon. RNAcentral describes it as "tRNA-Pro". The record is from RNAcentral. RNAcentral also lists the same sequence under 4 other names. Lineage: Archaea; Methanobacteriati; Thermoplasmatota; Thermoplasmata.
GGGGCCGUAGGGUAGCUUGGACCAUCCUGGUGCCUUGGGGUGGCAUCGACUCGAAUUCAAAUUUCGACGGCCCCACCA